Molecule: small nucleolar RNA, 67 nt
Organism: Cavia aperea (Brazilian guinea pig)
Lineage: Eukaryota; Metazoa; Chordata; Mammalia; Rodentia; Caviidae
Product: small nucleolar RNA, C/D box 56
Source: Ensembl
CUACAAUGAUGGUAAUAUUUUUCGUCAACAGAGUUCUAAUGAGUGUUGAUAUAUUGGGUCUGAGUGA